Molecule: ribosomal RNA, 118 nt
Filed under: Pteropus alecto (black flying fox)
Lineage: Eukaryota; Metazoa; Chordata; Mammalia; Chiroptera; Pteropodidae
Source: RNAcentral
AUCUACAGCCAUGCCACCCUAACAAGCCCGAUCCCGUCUGAUCUCGGAAGCUAAGCAGGGUCGGGCCUGGUUAGUACUUGGAUGGGAGACCAGCUAGAAAGACCAGGUGCUGUAGGCA